CCUUCCCGUGGGAGUCCCACCAUCUUCAUCGCGCAACACGGAGAGUGGGCGGGUGGGAGAUUGAAAACCUCCUGCUGCAGGCCCCAGCAGGAGUUGGAGCUGUGCCGGCUGAGCCGCUCUGCCCUUUGCGUCAGGUGCCCUUUGAUGUGGGUCGCGGAGUCCCAGGGAAAGGGGGAACUGUUCUGCUCCCCUGGGUAUUUCCAUUGUUUCCUCGUGGUCCCUGGUGGUUGUUUAAGUUCCCAGCUGUGGUCUUAUUGUCUGAUUGAACCAGGAUAUAGUUUCUCCCCCUAGGGUCGAGGCUGGAACCUUUGCAGAGCUAACCUGAUAGCUCUCAGCGAUAGGUUUAUGCCGUGAGCCUUUUCCUCCUUGCUCCAGAAGCCCUUGGUAGGCAUUACAAGGACUAAAGGAUUUGGAAGGCAGAGGAGCCUGCCUUUGUGGACCCUGUCAUGGACUGACCACUGUUAUAAGGAGUUGAACACCUGUGCUGGAACCCAUACUUGAUUUUUCAUGGGCUGUGGGGAGUCCUGUAUCUUUCAUAUGAAAGCUUUGAAGACAUCUGAUGCGUGCUUGUGCCCCUGGAGUGAUCCCUGUGCACACCACUAGGAGUCCUUGCAGUUGGAGGCAUAAUGCCGCCUCUGGCUCUGGAGCAAGAAAAUAAAUUCCUGGGUAAAACCAAACAACUUUUCUUGGCACUGAUGAUGAAGCCGUGCACAUGGAGGAGAUUCCACAUCCAAGUAGUAGCCUUGAGCACUGCUGACCGUGAUGGUGCUCUGAUCAGGAUGUUGUCCGGGAAGGGAUACAGUGAACUCCCGGAUAGCAUUGAUGUUACAUCCUCCUCUUCCAAUGACUCUGGAAAUUACUGUUGAUGGGACAGAAACCUUCUUUGAUCUAUACAGAAGAAAAAAGUAUUAAGUCAACUGGAGAAGUUUUGAUGAUCUGAAAUAAGAAUAGGUGGAACAAGGCCAGCAAGCUUUUCCACAAUACUCCCACUUAUGUGCCUCAAUUUUGGCUUGGACGGACAGCCACAUGCUUGAAAGAGUAGUUCAGUUUCUACAUCUGCUCAAUUACUGGCUUCCUUGCUGAGUCUAUCAGGAAUUUGGUUAGUAAAAAUGAUAAAUGUGGACACGUGCCCUCACUUGUAGGACUGUCACAGAAGCUGAACCAAGGCUCUGGAACUAUUUGACUCAAGGGAUAAGUACUAAGUUCAUAAUGUUCAGGACUAAAUGCAGUACCCAACUCCAGCUUAACUUUCCUUCAGCAAGUUCCUCCAUUCCCCCUUUCUUAUACAUACUGUAUUACAGUAAAGCCUACUAUCCCUAAUUGGGUGCCAACUGCGCUGGGCACGGUAUUGUCCAACAGAGGAGACAGUCCUUGCCCCGGAGAGUUUAAAACCGAAGGCUGCUGAACAGGAUAAAACAGGCUGAUGAAACAGAAAGGGGGAAAAGGGAUUGGGAAGCUGAAGUAACAAUAAAAUGAUAAAAGAAAGUUGGGAAGGAAAGUAGAUGUCACAGCUCUAACCAAAUAACCCAGCAACAUUCUCUCUCUCUCUCUCUCUCCAAGCUAAGAAGGAAGUCCUUGGGAAGUUCUCAGAUACAUUGUGAUGUGGGCCAUAUCAAUAUUUGGAUGAAUGGCAUUAAAUUCUUGCAAACUCACAGAACUUUGCCGGUGAGGUGAGGGGAUGGGGGGGAAGAAGUGCCAUGGAGAGUGCUGUCUCCUCACUCAUGUCAUCCUCUAACACUGCACAGCCUGAACUUCAGGGAGGAGAUUUUGCAGGGAGUGUGAUGAUGGUGCAGGGAAUCAGGGAUACAGUGGAAACACUCUGUACUACCACCGCUCUACUUUUCUCAUGAUCUACUUCCUGCUGAUGCCUUAUUCCUUUUGAUACCUGAUGCCAUUUGCCCAUACCAACCUGGACCAGAGAUGAACAAUGCAAGAGAUAGAACUUUCACAGCAGGUGAGAGGCUCAAAAGAUAUUACCAAUCCCCUGAGAAGCAAUUACUUAAUAUUAUGGAAACUGGGAGGCCAUUUAUACAAGAUAAAUGGAUAGCAAUUCAAUCCAACAGCAAUUCACUUACUCAACAGCAAGUGUCAACUUCAGAUAUUUAGUUCAAGCUCAGAACAGCAUUGGAUCCCAAAAAUACCGAACAGCAUAAAAGGAAUGCUUGCUUAUAAAGCAGCAAUGGAUAAUAUAUUACUGUUUGUUUACAGUUCUUGUUUACUGCAUUUAAUCAACAUCAGGAGAACAAUCUUUCAACUAUGUUUAAGAAUGGAAGACUUUAUAUUCAUAUAACUCCAGUGAAGCUCCUAAUCAAAUGUCACAUUGGAAAUGUUAGAAUGUUAUAUUUAUUUUUAUGGAAAAGACAAACAAAGUUGCCUUCUGUAAUAAUAUUUAAAAAUGCAGUAGAACUUCACUGAUCUGAGGAAGUGUCUGGGAAACUCACUGAAAACUAGCAAGUAAUUAUUAGCAAGUUUCAUCUACUGCCAUUUUCACAACCAUUUACUGUAAUUUGUACUACUGUUACAGUAUUUGGAUUUUCAAUUUUUACCAAAAUAAAACACAUUUAUUUUGAAAAUCAUGGUAGACUUGCUUUGCCAGUCAAGCAGAUGUUCACGGUAAAUUCUACUCCAACCUUGAUUAUUCACACUUAGAACUAUUCUUUUAGCAAUACUUUUCAGUCUUACCAAAGUCUUGCUAAGAGUAGCCACACUACAACAAUGCCCUUACCUUGU
Molecule: long non-coding RNA, 2730 nt
Organism: Trachemys scripta elegans
Lineage: Eukaryota; Metazoa; Chordata; Testudines; Emydidae
Exons: 3
Source: RefSeq, a predicted model, not a curated record